RNAcentral lists this long non-coding RNA (219 nucleotides) under Elaeis guineensis (African oil palm). Its description in RNAcentral is "long non-coding RNA (EGUI_LNC069542)". The record is from RNAcentral. Lineage: Eukaryota; Viridiplantae; Streptophyta; Magnoliopsida; Arecales; Arecaceae.
CCCCCAGGGAUGGUAACAACAAAGCGAAACAGCAGCAAAUAUUCAAGGCGCAUGGAGAAAUCCCCCCUACCUCUUUUAUUUUAGUUCCCACAAAAUUUGGAUACUGGAGACCCGCCCAUGUCCCCGAAUGGAUAUCCCACUAAGAUACAAUCCCAAGGCUUGCCGCCGAGGGCCGGCACAUAUGCAGCUUUUAUAUAAAGGCGGUGGACAACUCCAACG